GAUGAACGCUGACAGAAUGCUUAACACAUGCAAGUCAACUUGGACUUCGGUUUGGGUGGCGGACGAGUGAGUAACGCGUAAAGAACUUGCCUCACAGAUAGGGACAACAUUUGGAAACGAAUGCUAAUACCUGAUAUUAUGAUUUUAGGGCAUCCUAGAAUUAUGAAAGCUAUAUGCGCUGUGAGAGAGCUUUGCGUCCCAUUAGCUAGUUGGAGAGGUAACGGCUCACCAAGGCGAUGAUGGGUAGCCGGCCUGAGAGGGUGAUCGGCCACAAGGGGACUGAGACACGGCCCUUACUCCUACGGGAGGCAGCAGUGGGGAAUAUUGGACAAUGGACCAAGAGUCUGAUCCAGCAAUUCUGUGUGCACGAUGAAGUUUUUCGGAAUGUAAAGUGCUUUCAGUUGGGAAGAAAAAAAUGACGGUACCAACAGAAGAAGUGACGGCUAAAUACGUGCCAGCAGCCGCGGUAAUACGUAUGUCACAAGCGUUAUCCGGAUUUAUUGGGCGUAAAGCGCGUCUAGGUGGUUAUAUAAGUCUGAUGUGAAAAUGCAGGGCUCAACUCUGUAUUGCGUUGGAAACUGUGUAACUAGAGUACUGGAGAGGUAAGCGGAACUACAAGUGUAGAGGUGAAAUUCGUAGAUAUUUGUAGGAAUGCCGAUGGGGAAGCCAGCUUACUGGACAGAUACUGACGCUGAAGCGCGAAAGCGUGGGGAGCAAACAGG
Molecule: ribosomal RNA, 722 nt
Filed under: uncultured Fusobacterium sp.
Lineage: Bacteria; Fusobacteriati; Fusobacteriota; Fusobacteriia; Fusobacteriales; Fusobacteriaceae
Description: bacterial SSU rRNA
Rfam family: Bacterial small subunit ribosomal RNA
Source: RNAcentral